AAGCAUUUGACUUGUGUGCCCUUAGAAGCCAUCACAGCCAUGCCGGCUAAUGGCAUGGCUGUGAUUGGCCAGUGCAGCAUGUGACACAGCCUCUAUAUGUAAGCUGGAGUCGCGUAGCGCCGCACACACAUGCGGUCUUAUUAGUGUAGGGAGAGGAUGUUGAUAGGGACUGCUUAGGAAAGAAUUCUGCAAACUAGUACAUUACUGGUGUGGGGUACGUAACUUUGUUUUGAAUUUACUACAUCGGUCACUUGUAAUAUUGUUUCCCACCUACAACACUUGUUACACAGAUCUAAGUGAUAGAAAACAGAUUUAUAUUUUCUACACUAGAAACUACCAGAUAACAAACUGCUAUAUUUAAACCAGUGAUCAAUAGCUAAGAGGUACUUCAACAAUAUUGUCAUUUUGGGGCAAUACCCUCAAAAGUCAAACUGAGAGGUCAGUUUAUAGGGAAAACUGUUGCCUGGAUACAAUUCUAAAACAAUUUCCAUGUCCUUUGCAGACUUUACAUGUUGGAAAAACACAGGUGCCAACUGCUGUGGCUUUCUGCAGUGUGCAUACCGGCAAGGAGGGCAGGGUUAAGGAGUGGGUGGAAGAUGAUGUGGAGGAUGAUGAGGUCCUAGACCCCACAUGGAAUCAAGGUCAUGCGAGUGACGUGUGCAGUUUGGAGGAAGAGGCGCUGGUCGCACAGAGGCAUCAACACAGCAUAAGAGGGAGCAGGGUGCAAAAGCGGAGCGGCAGUCCCCUAGCCCUCAUCGGCAUGUAUUAGAUCGAGAAUUACUAGUUAUCCAAGUAAUACAUGUAGCGAUCAAAGGAUCCAUAACAGUUGAGCCAGAUUGAGUACCAGAUUUAACGAUCCAUUCGUAGUUUCACAGUGAGGUGAGCAGUCCGGUGACCAGGACCCAGACACUGUCUGGGUGGUGGUCGGACGACCGGGACCCAGUAUGCCUGAUGUUGAAGUUAGGAGUCACAGUGUGGAAUGGAUUAGAAGGGUCUGGUGCAGGGUAACCACAUGCCCCCUGCUGUUAAUCACCAGCGUUUGUGCGGCCACAUACCAGGACCCUGAUGCAGCUUCAGUAAAAAGAGUACUUGAUACCAGAAGCCAUCACCAGACUGAUCCACAACUUGGAACAGGAUGUGACAUUCACUGUAGUGGCGUUGCACGCUUUUGGCGUUCUCACCCUGCUGCUGAUCGCCUGUCUGCGCUGCAGCGUAACUUCGGCCUUCUCGCUCACCGCCUCAUGAGACUGUGCGAGCAGCAGCAGGCGAUAGUGGAGUUUCAGAUGCAGCACGCACUGUUCAGUCGUUCUGCGGAACAAUUUUCUUUUUUUAUAUAUCCCA
Non-coding RNA from Pelobates cultripes (western spadefoot toad), 1341 nucleotides. The record is from the annotation of a GenBank genome assembly. NCBI's taxonomy places the organism in Eukaryota, Metazoa, Chordata, Amphibia, Anura, Pelobatidae.